RNAcentral lists this ribosomal RNA (3054 nucleotides) under Triticum aestivum (bread wheat). RNAcentral's name for it is "partial small subunit ribosomal RNA". The record is from RNAcentral. Lineage: Eukaryota; Viridiplantae; Streptophyta; Magnoliopsida; Poales; Poaceae.
AUGCCGGCUACGGGGAGCGAGCAACAGAUCCCGACGCCCCAACUGCAGGAUCCUGGAGACGAUCGCAACCUGGUCAGCAUUCUCCGGCGCAGGGUCGCCGCCCGAGAGCCAUUCGCGGCCGACAGCUUCAUCCAGGAGGCGGACGUCUACUUGGCUGCCCCCGCGGAGCUCGUCCGCGACCAUGCUCCGGGCAUGGACCUCGGCGAGGGGAAAGAGACGGCGUGGUACUUCUUCAGCCCCGCCAAUUACCACGAGACCCCGGGUGCACGGAGACGAAAGCGCAAGGUCGGCGGCGCUGACGCCGGUGAGACGUGCUGCUGGCACCCGGAGGCGGGAAAGGUGCCCAUUCUAGGCCCGGGUAAGAAGCCCGUUGGGGCGUACAAGCGCAAGCUCUCCUAUGUGCUCAAGGUCAAGAACCCGCCUGGUUCCGCAAAGCCGUAUCGAAACAAAAGCCUUGGUUGGAUCAUGGUCGAGAUUGGGCUUGAGCAGCAGCAGGCCGACCAGCAGCUAGUGCUCUGCAAGCUGUACAAGUCUCGCAGUCGCAGGGAUGCUGAAAUUUCUAUUUCCACCGGAGCCUGCCGCGUGGACGCCUACGACGAGAAGCCAUGUCCCGCGCCGCCGCCACCUGCUGCUGCUGCUCCGUCGUGUGAUAGCCAGGUAACGGAACGUAAGACGACGACAUCAGGCUACAAUAUUCACUCGCCGAGAGUCGCCCAGAAGCCUCCACUCUCCAUCCCCCUCGCCUUCAAGCAUGGCACUCGGUCUAGGCCGAUGGGAGGGAGCAGGAGUGGUGUGGCAAUUGAGAAGAAGGCGUCGCCGGCGGUGGCGGUGACCGUCGUGAUGAAAUUCGGUGGGUCAUUGACGCAGUCGGCCCAUCGGAUGAAGGAGAUGGCCAAGCUCGUCCGCAGCUUCCCGGACGGAGGCGGCGAGUCUCCGGUGGUUGUUCUGUCCGCCAUGGGGAACACCACCACCAACCUUCUCCUGGCCGCUGGGAAAGCGCUGAGCUGCCGGCCCCAAGAGGCGAGCGAAAUCCACGAGCUCGCCAUCACAAAGGAGCUGCAUUUCAGGAUGGUUGAUGAUCUUGGACUGCAUAGGUCGAUUGCUUCAGCAUGUUCAUUGGAUGAGCUGGAAAACGUUUUUAUGGCUAUUGUUGUGAUGAAAGAGCUGACUUCUAAGACACGAGAUUACCUUGUUUCCUUCGGUGAACACAUGUCCACAAGAAUACUUUCUGCAUAUCUAAAUAAACUUGGGGAAGGGGCACGACAGGAAUGGGAAUCGAUUGCCGUUGAUACUUGUGGAAGGGGUGGUAGCGACUUGACUAUGACUACCAUUGGCAGAGAUAGGAGAUCAAGAGAAAUCCAGGUUUGGAAGGAUGUAGACGGUGUGUUGACGUGUGAUCCCAAUGUUUGUGCAAAUGCGAUACCACUGCCCUACUUGACUUUUGAUGAGGCAGCUGAACUUGGGUUGUUUGAUGGACAGUCAAUGCAACUAGCUAUGGAAGGUGGCGUACCAGUUAUAGUUAAGAACUUGUGCAACCUUCAAGCACCUGGCACCAUGAUUACUAAAACAAGAGAUAUGAGCAAGAGUAUAUUAACCAGCAUUAUGUUGAAACCAAAUGUUACCAUGAUGGAGAUAGAGAAUACAAGUAUGCUCGGCCAGUAUGCUUUUGUAGCAAAGGCCUUCUCAAUGUUUGAAGAUUUGGGCAUCUCUGUCGAUUGUGUAGCCAUUAGUGAAGGCACGAUGUCGUUUGCACUAGUUCCAUCAAAACUGUUAAAAGGAGAAUUGAUUCAGCUGGAGGUUGAUAAUGUAGUUGGAGAGUUUCAAAAGAUUGCAGCUGUUGGUCUACUACAAGGCAGAUCAGUUCUCUCUCUGGUAGGGAACACACAGAUGUCGCAACUCAUUCUUGAAAAGGCAUUAAAUGUUCUAGGCAGCAUUGAAGUUAAGUUCUAUACAAUCUCGCCAGUGUUGUCCAAGGUGAUGAAACUUUCCUUGGUGGUCGAUGAGAGCGAGGCAAAACAUUGCGUGCAAGCCCUCCAUUCAGCAUUCUUUGAGAGCGAGUACCCAAUUCCAGUCAACUCAUCCACGACAGCAGCUAGCUCCAGCGUCGACAAAAAGGAGGAUGACAACCACCCAGAAGUUCCACCUCCACUCGAUGCGUGUCAGGGAAGGAAGAACAUUGACCGCAACAGUGUUGUGGAGGACACUGAGCUCAUGACUUUCCCUGACAAUUAUCCGAUGCCCGUCGGAGGCGACAAUGUCGGGAACCCGACAGAGUUCUACUACAGCAGCGGAUAUCCAGCCGGGUGGGAUGCCGGAGUACCUGGAGUUCAGUCCCAGCAGCAGGUACUCGCUAAGGAGGUGGGGGGUGGCACUGAACCUCUCAAUGUUCUGGACGAGACCAAGCGCAUUCACCAGACAAUGAUGGACAUGAAGGACAUCGAGCACAUGAUGGUCUUUGACGGCGAGGAUGCGGUGCAUGUCAAUGGCAAGGAUCCGGCGUCCGGGUACUUGGGAGUCGACAACAGUGGAUAUUCAGCUGGGUUGGAUGGCGGAGAACAUCAAGUUGAGGAUUUGAUCCACAAACCAAUGUUUGUCGGAGUCGAGGACGGCGGAUGUUCGACUAGGUUGGAUGGAGGAGAACUUCAAGUUGAGGACUACAUGAUCGACAUCCCGACGCUCGUCGGAGUCAACGACGGCGGAUGUUCGGCUGGGUUGGAUGGCCGAGAACUUCAAGUUGAGGACUAUGUGAUCGAAACCCCGAUGCUCGUCGGAGUCAAUGACGGCGGAUGUUCGGCUGGGUUGGAUGGCAGAGAACUUGAAGUUGAGGACUACCUGAUCGACAUCCCAACGUUUGUCGGCGUCGACCACGGCAGAUGUUUGGCUGGGUUGGAUGGCGGAAUCUGUCAAGUUGAUGACUACCUGAUCGACAUCCCGAUGACCGUCGGAGUUGACGCUGGCGGGGAUGGGUACUUUGACGGUGGACUUGAAGUUGAAGCCGUGCAGCACGAACUCACUGGCGCAGCGAAGAGCGGUAGUAGACAUCGUAUCAACUGA